Molecule: ribosomal RNA, 465 nt
Filed under: Vreelandella stevensii
Lineage: Bacteria; Pseudomonadati; Pseudomonadota; Gammaproteobacteria; Oceanospirillales; Halomonadaceae
Description: partial 16S ribosomal RNA
Rfam family: Bacterial small subunit ribosomal RNA
Source: RNAcentral
CCUACGGGGGGCAGCAGUGGGGAAUAUUGGACAAUGGGGGGAACCCUGAUCCAGCCAUGCCGCGUGUGUGAAGAAGGCCCUCGGGUUGUAAAGCACUUUCAGUGAGGAAGAACGCCUGGUGGUUAAUACCCAUCAGGAAAGACAUCACUCACAGAAGAAGCACCGGCUAACUCCGUGCCAGCAGUCGCGGUAAUACGGAGGGUGCGAGCGUUAAUCGGAAUUACUGGGCGUAAAGCGCGCGUAGGUGGCUUGAUAAGCCGGUUGUGAAAGCCCCGGGCUCAACCUGGGAACGGCAUCCGGAACUGUCAAGCUAGAGUGCAGGAGAGGAAGGUAGAAUUCCCGGUGUAGCGGUGAAAUGCGUAGAGAUCGGGAGGAAUACCAGUGGCGAAGGCGGCCUUCUGGACUGACACUGACACUGAGGUGCGAAAGCGUGGGUAGCAAACAGGAUUAGAUACCCCAGUAGUC